RNAcentral lists this ribosomal RNA (497 nucleotides) under uncultured bacterium. Its description in RNAcentral is "partial 16S ribosomal RNA". It matches the Rfam family "Bacterial small subunit ribosomal RNA", at positions 28 to 507 of the family's 1533-position model. The record is from RNAcentral.
GAUGAACGCUGGCGGCGUGCCUAACACAUGCAAGUCGAGCGGACGGACGAGACGCUUGCUUCUCUGCUGUUAGCGGCGGACGGGUGAGUCAUACGUGGAUAACCUACCUAUAAGACUGGGAUAACUUCGGGAAACCGUAGCUAAUACCGGAUAAUAUUUUGAACCGCAUGGUUCAUAAGUGAUAGACGGUCUUGCUGACACUUAUAGAUGGAUCCGCGCUGCAUUAGCUAGUUGGUAAGGUAACGGCUUACCAAGGCAACGAUGCAUAGCCGACCUGAGAGGGUGGACGGCCACACUGGGACUGAGGCACGGGCCAGACUCCUGAGGGGAGCAACAGUAGGGAAUCUUUCGAAAAGGGGCAAAGCCUGACGGAGCAACGGCGCGGGAUGGAUGAAGGUCCUCGGGACGGUAAACUCUGUUAUGAUGGAAGAACAGAUGGUAAGUUAACAGUGCACAGCUUGACGGUACCUAAUCAAAAAGCCACGGCUAACUACGGG